RNAcentral lists this ribosomal RNA (303 nucleotides) under uncultured bacterium. RNAcentral describes it as "bacterial SSU rRNA". It matches the Rfam family "Bacterial small subunit ribosomal RNA", at positions 9 to 311 of the family's 1533-position model. The record is from RNAcentral.
GAGUUUGAUCAUGGCUCAGGAUGAACGCUGGCGGCGUGCAUAACACAUUCAAGUCGAACGGUGACGAGGACUUCGGUCCUCUGAUCAGUGGCGGACGGGUGAGUAACACGUGGAUAACCUGCCUCACACUGGGGGACAACAGUUAGAAAUGACUGCUAAUACCGCAUAAGCGCACAGUACCGCAUGGUACAGUGUGAAAAACUCCGGUGGUGUGAGAUGGAUCCGCGUCUGAUUAGCUAGUUGGAGGGUAACGGCCCACCAAGGCCGAUGAUCAGUAGCCGGUCUGAGAGGAUGAACGGCCAC